Molecule: ribosomal RNA, 492 nt
Filed under: uncultured bacterium
Lineage: Bacteria
Description: partial 16S ribosomal RNA
Rfam family: Bacterial small subunit ribosomal RNA
Source: RNAcentral
AGUGAACGCUGGCGGUAGGCCUAACACAUGCAAGUCGAACGGCAGCACAGUAAGAGCUUGCUCUUACGGGUGGCGAGUGGCGGACGGGUGAGGAAUACAUCGGAAUCUACUUUUUCGUGGGGGAUAACGUAGGGAAACUUACGCUAAUACCGCAUACGACCUACGGGUGAAAGCAGGGGAUCUUCGGACCUUGCGCGAUUGAAUGAGCCGAUGUCGGAUUAGCUAGUUGGCGGGGUAAAGGCCCACCAAGGCGACGAUCCGUAGCUGGUCUGAGAGGAUGAUCAGCCACACUGGAACUGAGACACGGUCCAGACUCCUACGGGAGGCAGUAGUGGGGAAUAUUGGACAAUGGGCGCAAGCCUGAUCCAGCCAUACCGCGUGGGUGAAGAAGGCCUUCGGGUUGUAAAGCCCUUUUGCUGGGAAAGAAAAGCAGCAGGUUAAUACCCCGCUGUUCUGACGGUACCCAAAGAAUAAGCACCGGCUAACUUCGUG